RNAcentral lists this long non-coding RNA (3658 nucleotides) under Canis lupus dingo (dingo). RNAcentral describes it as "lncRNA (ENSCAFG00020005009.1)". The record is from RNAcentral. Lineage: Eukaryota; Metazoa; Chordata; Mammalia; Carnivora; Canidae.
AUGCACUCCCAUCCCCAACAGAACAGCAAGGCUGCCUGGACACCCACUGCCAUCACCCUCAGAUCUAUGCCAGGUGCAGGCCCAAGGGAGCCUGAGGAGAGCCCCUCUUGGUCCCUGAGAUGUGAUCGCCCUGCUAAAAAGGGCUGCUGUCAGGAGAUAACACAGAUUCACUCCCCUGACAUUCAGAGCACUCUGUACCUCAUGUUGGAAAACUCAGCCAACAGUCAACGGGGUGGAAAAACCACCCCCCAGCUCCUGCUGCCCGUCCAGGAGCCCAAGGUGAGGAGAUGCCCUGAGCUUAGGAGCCUUCUGGGGUCAAGGCUCCCUUGGAAGCUGAGCUCUCCCAGAGGUCGGCACCCCGCCCCCGCCCGAGGGGGUCCCCUUCCCUGCCCUGGGGCUGGUGUUCGUGCUGCCAGGCCAGCCCCGGGAGUCUGAUGAGUGAGCUGGUCACAUGACCAAUCAGGCCUUGUCACGUCGUCUCCAUUGUUUGCUGCCUAAUCCCUGGAGGGUGCUUUGCUGUUGGACUGUGGUGUGAAGCCGGUUGUGCGUACAUGGUGGUACGAGGCUUAUUGCUGGAUGUUAACAGGUGGUGCCAGGUCUUCCGUUCCUUCUUGCUGCCUGCCUGGCCAACUCACGUCCAUGCACACACCUCUGGCCUCUGACCAGCUGGCCACCUUUCAGCUGUGCUCAUGGAGACAGGGCUCCACUUGAGCUCGUACACAAUGUAUUGCACCGGGAGACCGCCCCAAUUGGGCCUCCAGAAGGCCCGGCUGCUGCACCCUGGCCACCCCAAGGGGCUUGGCUACUGAAGGUGGAUGGCCAUGUGCACCAGCAUAAGCUGUGUCCUCAGGAGGACGCACCCUCACCACUGUCCUCUGAGGCUGAUCCAUGUGGGGCACGAGUCCUGCCCUGUCCACAGGGAGGACUACACCUACUCAACUGGGCUUACACCCACAACAUUAGCACAGCCAAUUUCCUCUUCCCUCACUGGCCAUGAGGGAUCCAGGCCGCGGUGUAUGAACAAAAGCACAACAUGGCAUAUCCUUAAUCGCCCAAGACUUACCUCCCAACCACAGAGCGCGCAAGGCCCCACACCCAGCCAUCUCUUGCUCACACGGCCCUAUCCAACAUGAUGCCCUAGAAUCGUGGGACUGGCUGGCCUCCAGCAACAUGUCCACGUAGGAUUUCUUUGGACUGAGGGUGAGAAGGUUACCAUGAGUUUAGGGGAAAACUAUAUAUAUUUUUGUUCAUUUCAUAUGUGAAGAAUCCCUCAUAUUCUUUUCCAAAUAAGGACGGAAGAGAUGUUUGCCCACCAGAACCCACCAAGGCCAAGUCCGAGGCCACCUGCUAACCCUAGACCAGGUGGCAGCAUCCACACUCGUCUUCCAGGAUCCAUCUGGCUCUGUGGGAGCCAAGCAGUGAGCUAAAGAGAAGGGGGAUGGCUCCAUCCAUUUAUCCUCCUCAGGUCUUCCUGAUGGCACCAUUUCCACCACUCCUCUGACAUGUCAUGCUUCACUUGCUGGCUCAGUGGGGCAGGGCUGUUUCUGAGGCCUCUGUGUAGCCUUCUGCACAUCCAUGUCCUGUGGGUCAGUUGGCCAGGCUCCAUUUAUGACCUGCAGCCCAGCGCUGCUCCCCACUUAGGUCAGCUCAGACCCAGGGACUUCACAAUAUUUGGGGAUCACCUUUUCGUAGAGUCCCAGAGCAGUCACAGGCCACUUUGGGGAGAGACUAAGUACAUCUUCUUUUUUGGGGAAUUGGCCCCUUGGUAACUCACAGCUUAAGUCUGGAACCUGGACAAGGAUUGAGAUUUUUCACUGGGGGCCACUUCUGAGAGGCCUCUGGCUAUAUCCCAGACUUCCUCAGGUGGUAGAGAUUGACCAGAGCCCUGGAUGCCCACCUACUGUGGGACACUGAUCCAGGACCCCCCUCGGAUCCCCUCUGACUCCCCCGGGCAGGAACAAGCCCUCCAGCCUCGCUGUCUUUACGACCAUUGCACCCACCUGCCCGAUGUUCACUUGCUGCCACCGGAUCCUGUUGUUCCCGGCCCUGUAAUGCCACGGCUGUCCAAGAGCCUGGCUCCUCAGUGGGCUGUCCUACUGUCAGCCAGGGAGCCACUACUGGCCUGUUGUGUGGCCCUGGGGGCCUGCCCCCAGGGUAGACAUCUGGCUUCAGCGAGGGCUGUGUCCCCCCAUGGAACACAGCCCCACAGGGGGUUACCUUGCCUUAAGCAGUGCCCACACUGACACAGGCAGCUCUCUGAGCCUCCUUCCACUGUCUGCACAGUGGUUCUGGCAUCUUCACUGUGUGUGGCCAUCACUUCUUAGAGCUGGCCUAGUGGUGAUCACAGGUGCAGAGAUCUGUAUCUGAAUGCUUCCAAGUCCUGUGCCAAAGAUAUGUUUGCUUUCUCUUCCUUACAUCUGAUUGUUUACAUUUGUUUCUGUUUACGUUGUUAAAUAGUGAAUACAUAAGAAUAUAAUGUGUGUAAGGUUAUAAGCCGUAAAACGAGCACACAAAUAUCUAUUUCCAGUUUAUUUCUGCAUUUGCUUUGAAGAAUCUUAUAUGCUAAAAAAAAAGAAUCUUACAUGCUAUCUACCCUUCUCUCCCAUACUCAACAUUCUGAAUUAUUUUCCUUGCUUAUUGAUGUUAUCAAUAUGUUAAUAAUAUAUUGAUAUAUUAUGUGAGGGGUGUGGGGGAACGUGGCUUCUGCUUUGUUAGGGAUGACGAGGUGGGGAUGGGGAGGGCACUUCAGGAUCAUGGUGUCGAGGGAAAAAACAAGUCACAGACUAACAUAGUGUGAUUUCAUUCUGUAGAGUUUUUUUUUUUUUUUUUAAAGAUUUUAUUUAUUCAUGAGAUACAGAGAGAUAGAGAGAGGCAGAGACACAGGCAGAGGGAGAAGCAGGCUCCAUGCAGGGAACCCUAUGCGGGAUUUGAUCCUGGUUCUCCAGGAUAAUGCUCUGAGCCGAAGGCAGCGCUAAACUGUUGAGCCACCCAGGCUGCCCAUCAUUCUGGAGAGUUUGCCUUGCCCACUACUUCCACCAGCUGUUGCCCACUACUUCCUACUUCUGGAGAGUUUGCCUUGCCCACUACUUCCACCUGCCUUGCCCACUACUUCCACCAGCUGUUGUAGACACUGAUGCUCUGAGCGUCCUCAUGCAUUCACAGGAUUCCUCUAGGAUUUAUACUUAGAUUAGGAUUUUAUCAACUGUUUUGGCCGGAGAGAAAUUAUUUUUUCACAAAUUGGAUUAUUUCUCCCAUCAAGACGGACACAAGGUAAAAGAGAAAACCUGACUAUUCCGAAAACUCAUAUAUAUACUUAAAAAGCUAAUUAAAUGUUUAAUUAAAGACAGAAAACACCAAGCUCUUCCCACACAGAAAACACCAAGUUCAGACAGACUUAACUGAGUAUUAUAACAAAUCCAAGGAACUAUUUCUAAUCUUACACAAACUCUUCCAGGAAUCCAGAAAGACAGAGCAUUCCUCAAUUCAUUUCUUUUCUUUUUUAAAGAUUUUGUUAAAAUCUUGGGCCCAACAUGGGGCCCAAACUCACAAUCCCAAAAUUAAGAGUGGCAUGCUUCACCAAUGGGGCCAGCCAGGAGCCCCUCAGUUCAUUUCUUAAUACUAAAAUAAACACGAGCAAGGGCAAAAAAGAAAGAAUAAA